AUGCUUGUGUAUAGAGGAAGAUUUGCUGGUUUGUUUCAUUCAUAUGGUUUGUUUAAUUUGUUUGCACAGACAGACAGUAUCGUGUGGUACUCCCAUCCUGCACGUAGAGUUGAAAUCAUCUGUAAGUUCAGAAUACUGGACAUAUUCCUUCCCCUGGCCUGUCUAAGGAUGGUGAAUUUGGAAAGUACUUCUUCAGUUAAAUAUCGUAAUUACUUUCAAAAUUAUGACUUCAAAAUGAUGCAGUUUGCUAUUGUUGUCCAGGGUCUGAAGUUCUACGAAUACUUAGAAAUAAUGGUAAUUCCUCUACGGAGAAUGACACCUGGGUAUAUAAGGUUGUUGCAGACUCAAGCUGCAGGAAAAAUAGUUAUCAACUCAUCGGACAUACUGCUGCAACGGACUGCCUUGCUCCUGGGCAUGUUUGGGAUCAGUCUCUCCAGCUACAGCACACACCAGUUGGCUCAACAGAAGAAACUUCCCGUGACCCUUUAAGCUGUGUUGGGAUGUGGCCCAAGAAAUAAAUGCGUGUGUCAGGAGUGCUGAUGAGUAGCU
This 549-nucleotide long non-coding RNA is filed under the name Anser brachyrhynchus (Pink-footed goose). RNAcentral describes it as "lncRNA (ENSABRG00000020611.1)". The record is from RNAcentral. Lineage: Eukaryota; Metazoa; Chordata; Aves; Anseriformes; Anatidae.